ACCGUUAUAACCGGCGAUUUCCGAAUGGGGAAACCCAGUGUGAUUCGUUACACUAUCAUUAACUGAAUCCAUAGGUUAAUGAGGCGAACCGGGGGAACUGAAACAUCUAAGUACCCCGAGGAAAAGAAAUCAACCGAGAUUCCCCCAGUAGCGGCGAGCGAACGGGGAGCAGCCCAGAGCCUGAAUCAGUGUGUGUGUUAGUGGAAGCGUCUGGAAAGGCGUGCGAUACAGGGUGACAGCCCCGUACACAAAAAUGCACAUAUUGUGAGCUCGAUGAGUAGGGCGGGACACGUGGUAUCCUGUCUGAAUAUGGGGGGACCAUCCUCCAAGGCUAAAUACUCCUGACUGACCGAUAGUGAACCAGUACCGUGAGGGAAAGGCGAAAAGAACCCCGGCGAGGGGAGUGAAAAAGAACCUGAAACCGUGUACGUACAAGCAGUGGGAGCACGCUUAGGCGUGUGACUGCGUACCUUUUGUAUAAUGGGUCAGCGACUUAUAUUCUGUAGCAAGGUUAACCGAAUAGGGGAGCCGAAGGGAAACCGAGUCUUAACUGGGCGUUAAGUUGCAGGGUAUAGACCCGAAACCCGGUGAUCUAGCCAUGGGCAGGUUGAAGGUUGGGUAACACUAACUGGAGGACCGAACCGACUAAUGUUGAAAAAUUAGCGGAUGACUUGUGGCUGGGGGUGAAAGGCCAAUCAAACCGGGAGAUAGCUGGUUCUCCCCGAAAGCUAUUUAGGUAGCGCCUCGUGAAUUCAUCUCCGGGGGUAGAGCACUGUUUCGGCAAGGGGGUCAUCCCGACUUACCAACCCGAUGCAAACUGCGAAUACCGGAGAAUGUUAUCACGGGAGACACACGGCGGGUGCUAACGUCCGUCGUGAAGAGGGAAACAACCCAGACCGCCAGCUAAGGUCCCAAAGUCAUGGUUAAGUGGGAAACGAUGUGGGAAGGCCCAGACAGCCAGGAUGUUGGCUUAGAAGCAGCCAUCAUUUAAAGAAAGCGUAAUAGCUCACUGGUCGAGUCGGCCUGCGCGGAAGAUGUAACGGGGCUAAACCAUGCACCGAAGCUGCGGCAGCGACACUAUGUGUUGUUGGGUAGGGGAGCGUUCUGUAAGCCUGUGA
Molecule: ribosomal RNA, 1118 nt
Filed under: Shigella boydii
Lineage: Bacteria; Pseudomonadati; Pseudomonadota; Gammaproteobacteria; Enterobacterales; Enterobacteriaceae
Description: partial 23S ribosomal RNA
Rfam family: Bacterial large subunit ribosomal RNA
Source: RNAcentral